CUGCCAACAUCCUGGGGCUGAGUUUGCCUUUCCACUUCUAGGAAUUUCCACGGACAUGCAGGAGGGGGGUUCCAGGCUGCCAAGAUGGCUGUGAAUGUGUGUGACCAUCGAGGAGUUGGCGAAGUCAGAAGGUUGAGGUCAAAGGUCUCUCUCUCUCCAAAGCACCUGAGGGUCAGCUGCUAAACUGUUACGCAUUGAGAAAACACAUUGUUGUCUGUGUGCUUGCUAAGGGGUUUUUAUCUAGCUCUGCUGCCUUGAUUACAGGAGCUCCUGGCUUAAAUUGGUAACCCUCACCAGAGUCAGAGAGAGCUGUGCCCGUGCGCUCCUGGCAUCCGACCCCGGCAACCUCCAGAAGAGGGCGUCCUCUGGAAGAGCAAGGCAGCCAUCCCUCCACAAGACUCUUUUUAAGUGCUGAGAGUAGAAGUGUGGACCACAUGCCUUUCCCCAGCCUAACAUCGUUUUACAACAUGUCUGGAGUCCUAUUAUCUCAACAGGAGACCUUAGAGGUAUAGAAAAAAACCACUUCAGAUUGGGAGUGGUGGUGGUGGUGGGGG
RNAcentral lists this long non-coding RNA (554 nucleotides) under Mus spicilegus (steppe mouse). RNAcentral's name for it is "lncRNA (ENSMSIG00000022638.1)". The record is from RNAcentral. Lineage: Eukaryota; Metazoa; Chordata; Mammalia; Rodentia; Muridae.